GGGAUGACGGCCUUCGGGUUGUAAACCUCUUUUAGCAGGGAAGAAGCGAGAGUGACGGUACCUGCAGAAAAAGCGCCGGCUAACUACGUGCCAGCAGCCGCGGUAAUACGUAGGGCGCAAGCGUUAUCCGGAAUUAUUGGGCGUAAAGAGCUCGUAGGCGGUUUGUCGCGUCUGCUGUGAAAUCCCGAGGCUCAACCUCGGGCUUGCAGUGGGUACGGGCAGACUAGAGUGCGGUAGGGGAGAUUGGAAUUCCUGGUGUAGCGGUGGAAUGCGCAGAUAUCAGGAGGAACACCGAUGGCGAAGGCAGAUCUCUGGGCCGUAACUGACGCUGAGGAGCGAAAGGGUGGGGAGCAAACAGGCUUAGAUACCCUGGUAGUCCACCCCGUAAACGUUGGGAACUAGUUGUGGGGUCCUUUCCACGGAUUCCGUGACGCAGCUAACGCAUUAAGUUCCCCGCCUGGGGAGUACGGCCGCAAGGCUAAAACUCAAAGGAAUUGACGGGGACCCGCACAAGCGGCGGAGCAUGCGGAUUAAUUCGAUGCAACGCGAAGAACCUUACCAAGGCUUGACAUACACGAGAACGGGCCAGAAAUGGUCAACUCUUUGGACACUCGUGAACAGGUGGUGCAUGGUUGUCGUCAGCUCGUGUCGUGAGAUGUUGGGUUAAGUCCCGCAACGAGCGCAACCCUCGUUCUAUGUUGCCAGCACGUAAUGGUGGGAACUCAUGGGAUACUGCCGGGGUCAACUCGGAGGAAGGUGGGG
RNAcentral lists this ribosomal RNA (762 nucleotides) under Microbacterium ginsengiterrae. RNAcentral's name for it is "bacterial SSU rRNA". It matches the Rfam family "Bacterial small subunit ribosomal RNA", at positions 405 to 1178 of the family's 1533-position model. Lineage: Bacteria; Bacillati; Actinomycetota; Actinomycetes; Micrococcales; Microbacteriaceae. The record is from RNAcentral.